This 208-nucleotide microRNA precursor is filed under the name Oryza sativa Japonica Group (Japanese rice). RNAcentral's name for it is "MIR812 microRNA precursor family". It matches the Rfam family "MIR812 microRNA precursor family". Lineage: Eukaryota; Viridiplantae; Streptophyta; Magnoliopsida; Poales; Poaceae. The record is from Rfam by way of RNAcentral.
AAUAAGUGCAGUUUUGCACUAUUCACGUUCAACGUUUGACCGUCCGUCUUAUUUGAAAAAUUUAUAAAAAAUUAAAAACAUUUAGUCACACAUAAAGUACUAUUCAUGUUUUAUCAUCUAAUAGCAAUAAAAAUACUAAUCAUAAAAAAUUUUCAAAUAAGACGGACGGUCAAACGUUGAACGUGAAUAGUGCAAAACUGCACUUAUU